This 68-nucleotide ribosomal RNA is filed under the name Staphylococcus aureus. The record is from RNAcentral. Lineage: Bacteria; Bacillati; Bacillota; Bacilli; Caryophanales; Staphylococcaceae.
UCUGGUGACUAUAGCAAGGAGGUCACACCUGUUCCCAUGCCGAACACAGAAGUUAAGCUCCUUAGCGU